Molecule: long non-coding RNA, 408 nt
Filed under: Mytilus galloprovincialis (Mediterranean mussel)
Lineage: Eukaryota; Metazoa; Mollusca; Bivalvia; Mytilida; Mytilidae
Source: RNAcentral
AAAACCAAGUCCAACAGUCUAAUCUAUAUAAAAAAAACCAAGAAACACAUAUAAAUUACAUAAACAAAAGACAACUACUGUAUAUGCUAGUGAGUGUUUUUUAUGCCCCAUUUAGGGGCAUUAUGUUUUCUGGUCUGUGCGUCCGUCUGUUCGUUCGUCCGUCCGUCCGUCUGUCCCGCUUCAGGUUAAAGUUUUUGGUCGAGGUAGUUUUUGAUGAAGUUGAAGUCUAAUCAACUUGAAACUUAGUAUAUAUGUUCUGUAUGAUAUGAUCUUUCUAAUUUUAAUUCCAAAUUAGAGAUUUAACCCCAUUUUCAUGGUCCACUGAACAUAGAAAAUGAUAGUGCGGAUGGGGCAUCCGUGUACUGGGGACACAUUCUUGUUUAAUUUGUGCAAAUAAAUUUCUGUUUU